CAGCCGUAAACUAUGCGCGUUAGGUGUAUCGGUGACCACGAGUUACCGAGGUGCCGAAGGGAAACCGUGAAACGUGCCGCCUGGGAAGUACGGUCGCAAGGCUGAAACUUAAAGGAAUUGGCGGGGGAGCACCGCAACGGGAGGAGCGUGCGGUUUAAUUGGAUUCAACACCGUAAACUCACCAGGGAAGACUGUUACAUGAAAGCCGAGUUGAAGACUCUGCUAGAUUUUUCAGAGAGGAGGUGCAUGGCGUCAGUGACU
RNAcentral lists this ribosomal RNA (261 nucleotides) under uncultured archaeon. Its description in RNAcentral is "partial 16S ribosomal RNA". It matches the Rfam family "Archaeal small subunit ribosomal RNA", at positions 748 to 1008 of the family's 1478-position model. The record is from RNAcentral.